Molecule: transfer RNA, 75 nt
Filed under: Nuclearia simplex
Lineage: Eukaryota; Rotosphaerida; Nucleariidae
Description: tRNA-His
Rfam family: tRNA
About the family: Transfer RNA (tRNA) molecules are approximately 80 nucleotides in length. Their secondary structure includes four short double-helical elements and three loops (D, anti-codon, and T loops).
Source: RNAcentral
AGUGAAAAUAGUUUAAAUGGUUAAAACCUUAGAUUGUGAUUCUAAUUAUUAAGGGUUCAAUUCCCUUUUUUCACC